CUGGAGGGGAGUCAACAAAGAAGCUGCGCCAAGAUGAUGUAAUCAUUUUUACAAAUGAAGAUGCUCAGAGAAUCCAAACUCUCCAUGACGAUGCUGUUGUUAUCUCGGCAACAAUAGCAAAUUAUGAUGUAAGAAGGAUCUUUGUUGAUAAUAGAAGUUCGACUAAUGUUUUGUUUUACUCGACCUUCUCUCGAAGGCGACUGUCGGCUG
RNAcentral lists this long non-coding RNA (210 nucleotides) under Elaeis guineensis (African oil palm). RNAcentral's name for it is "long non-coding RNA (EGUI_LNC036501)". Lineage: Eukaryota; Viridiplantae; Streptophyta; Magnoliopsida; Arecales; Arecaceae. The record is from RNAcentral.